Molecule: long non-coding RNA, 252 nt
Filed under: Elaeis guineensis (African oil palm)
Lineage: Eukaryota; Viridiplantae; Streptophyta; Magnoliopsida; Arecales; Arecaceae
Description: long non-coding RNA (EGUI_LNC082541)
Source: RNAcentral
CCGUUGGUCUAGUUUGUCGAUCGUCAGGGAGCCCUUCAACUCAUCGUUUUGGGCGGAGAUCUGAAAGCAUCGGUGAGCGAGCUGUUGGUCUCCGCACAUCUCCCCGACUCCAUUUUUGAUCGGGAACCGAACCAAGAGAUGGUACGUUGAGACAAUCGCCUUAAGGGCGUUUAGUCCGGAUCUUCUAAGUAUGACGUUGUAGGCCGAAGACACUUGGACGACCGCGAAAGUCAAGUGAACCGUGCUUUGUCG